UCCGGGGGGGGCAAGCGUUGUUCGGAAUUACUGGGCGUAAAGGGCUCGUAGGCGGCCAACUAAGUCGGAUGUGAAAUCCCCAGGCUUAACCUGGGAACUGCAUCCGAUACUGGAUGGCUUGAAUUCGGGAGAGGGAUGCAGAAUUCCAGGUGUAGCGGUGAAAUGCGUAGAUAUCUGGAGGAAUACCGGUGGCGAAGGCGGCAUCCUGGACCGACAUUGACGCUGAGGAGCGAAAGCUAGGGGAGCAAACGGG
This 253-nucleotide ribosomal RNA is filed under the name uncultured bacterium. RNAcentral's name for it is "partial 16S ribosomal RNA". It matches the Rfam family "Bacterial small subunit ribosomal RNA", at positions 524 to 776 of the family's 1533-position model. The record is from RNAcentral.